RNAcentral lists this ribosomal RNA (492 nucleotides) under uncultured bacterium. RNAcentral's name for it is "partial 16S ribosomal RNA". It matches the Rfam family "Bacterial small subunit ribosomal RNA", at positions 29 to 507 of the family's 1533-position model. The record is from RNAcentral.
AGUGAACGCUGGCGGUAGGCCUAACACAUGCAAGUCGAACGGCAGCACAGUAAGAGCUUGCUCUUACGGGUGGCGAGUGGCGGACGGGUGAGGAAUACAUCGGAAUCUACUUUUUCGUGGGGGAUAACGUAGGGAAACUUACGCUAAUACCGCAUACGACCUACGGGUGAAAGCAGGGGAUCUUCGGACCUUGCGCGAUUGAAUGAGCCGAUGUGGGAUUAGCUAGUUGGCGGGGUAAAGGCCCACCAAGGCGACGAUCCGUAGCUGGUCUGAGAGGAUGAUCAGCCACACUAGAACUGAGACACGGUCCAGACUCCUACGGGAGGCAGCAGUGGGGAAUAUUGGACAAAGGGCGCAAGCCUGAUCCAGCCAUACCGCGUGGGUGAAGAAGGCCUUCGGGUUGUAAAGCCCUUUUGUUGGGAAAGAAAAGCAGCAGGUUAAUACCCCGCUGUUCUGACGGUACCCAAAGAAUAAGCACCGGCUAACUUCGUG